RNAcentral lists this ribosomal RNA (498 nucleotides) under uncultured bacterium. RNAcentral describes it as "partial 16S ribosomal RNA". It matches the Rfam family "Bacterial small subunit ribosomal RNA", at positions 28 to 507 of the family's 1533-position model. The record is from RNAcentral.
GACGAACGCUGGCGGCGUGCCUAAUACAUGCAAGUCGAACGAGAGCAACCGGUGCUUGCACUGGUCAAUCUAGUGGCGAACGGGUGAGUAACACGUGGGUAACCUGCCCAUCAGAGGGGGAUAACAUCCGGAAACGGAUGCUAAAACCGCAUAGGUCUUCGAACCGCAUGGUUUGAAGAGGAAAAGAGGCGCAAGCUUCUGCUGAUGGAUGGACCCGCGGUGCAUUAGCUAGUUGGUGAGGUAACGGCUCACCAAGGCCGUGAUGCAUAGCCGACCUGAGGGGGUGAUCGGCCACAUUGGGACUGAGCCACGGCCCAAACUCCUACGGGAGGCAGCAGUAGGGAAUCUUCCGCAAUGGACGCAAGUCUGACGGAGCAACGCCGCGUGAGUGAAGAAGGUUUUCGGAUCGUAAAACUCUGUUGUUAGAGAAGAACAAGUGCUAGAGUAACUGUUAGCGCCUUGACGGUAUCUAACCAGAAAGCCACGGCUAACUACGUG